This 1314-nucleotide ribosomal RNA is filed under the name Microbacterium sp. M3R204. RNAcentral's name for it is "bacterial SSU rRNA". It matches the Rfam family "Bacterial small subunit ribosomal RNA", at positions 81 to 1407 of the family's 1533-position model. Lineage: Bacteria; Bacillati; Actinomycetota; Actinomycetes; Micrococcales; Microbacteriaceae. The record is from RNAcentral.
GCUCUGUGGGAUCAGUGGCGAACGGGUGAGUAACACGUGAGCAACCUGCCCCUGACUCUGGGAUAAGCGCUGGAAACGGCGUCUAAUACUGGAUAUGUGAUGUGACCGCAUGGUCUGCAUCUGGAAAGAAUUUCGGUUGGGGAUGGGCUCGCGGCCUAUCAGCUUGUUGGUGAGGUAAUGGCUCACCAAGGCGUCGACGGGUAGCCGGCCUGAGAGGGUGACCGGCCACACUGGGACUGAGACACGGCCCAGACUCCUACGGGAGGCAGCAGUGGGGAAUAUUGCACAAUGGGCGCAAGCCUGAUGCAGCAACGCCGCGUGAGGGACGACGGCCUUCGGGUUGUAAACCUCUUUUAGCAGGGAAGAAGCGAAAGUGACGGUACCUGCAGAAAAAGCGCCGGCUAACUACGUGCCAGCAGCCGCGGUAAUACGUAGGGCGCAAGCGUUAUCCGGAAUUAUUGGGCGUAAAGAGCUCGUAGGCGGUUUGUCGCGUCUGCUGUGAAAUCCGGAGGCUCAACCUCCGGCCUGCAGUGGGUACGGGCAGACUAGAGUGCGGUAGGGGAGAUUGGAAUUCCUGGUGUAGCGGUGGAAUGCGCAGAUAUCAGGAGGAACACCGAUGGCGAAGGCAGAUCUCUGGGCCGUAACUGACGCUGAGGAGCGAAAGGGUGGGGAGCAAACAGGCUUAGAUACCCUGGUAGUCCACCCCGUAAACGUUGGGAACUAGUUGUGGGGUCCAUUCCACGGAUUCCGUGACGCAGCUAACGCAUUAAGUUCCCCGCCUGGGGAGUACGGCCGCAAGGCUAAAACUCAAAGGAAUUGACGGGGACCCGCACAAGCGGCGGAGCAUGCGGAUUAAUUCGAUGCAACGCGAAGAACCUUACCAAGGCUUGACAUAUACGAGAACGGGCCAGAAAUGGUCAACUCUUUGGACACUCGUAAACAGGUGGUGCAUGGUUGUCGUCAGCUCGUGUCGUGAGAUGUUGGGUUAAGUCCCGCAACGAGCGCAACCCUCGUUCUAUGUUGCCAGCACGUAAUGGUGGGAACUCAUGGGAUACUGCCGGGGUCAACUCGGAGGAAGGUGGGGAUGACGUCAAAUCAUCAUGCCCCUUAUGUCUUGGGCUUCACGCAUGCUACAAUGGCCGGUACAAAGGGCUGCAAUACCGCGAGGUGGAGCGAAUCCCAAAAAGCCGGUCCCAGUUCGGAUUGAGGUCUGCAACUCGACCUCAUGAAGUCGGAGUCGCUAGUAAUCGCAGAUCAGCAACGCUGCGGUGAAUACGUUCCCGGGUCUUGUACACACCGCCCGUCAAGUCAUGA